CGCGUGCAGGAAGAAGGCUUCGGGUUGUAACUGCUUUUGUCAGGGAAGAAAUCUUCUGGGCUAAUACCCCGGGAGGAUGACGGUACCUGAAGAAUAAGCACCGGCUAACUACGUGCCAGCAGCCGNGGUAAUACGUAGGGUGCGAGCGUUAAUCGGAAUUACUGGGCGUAAAGCGUGCGCAGGCGGCUUUGCAAGACAGAUGUGAAAUCCCCGGGCUCAACCUGGGAACUGCAUUUGUGACUGCAAGGCUAGAGUACGGCAGAGGGGGAUGGAAUUCCGCGUGUAGCAGUGAAAUGCGUAGAUAUGCGGAGGGACACCAAUGGCGAAGGCAAUCCCCUGGGGCCUGUACUGACGCUCAUGCACGAAAGCGUGGGGAGCAAACAGGAUUANAUNCCUGGUAGUCCCGCCCUAACGAUGUCAACUGGUUGUGGACGGCUUGCUGU
RNAcentral lists this ribosomal RNA (443 nucleotides) under uncultured bacterium. RNAcentral's name for it is "bacterial SSU rRNA". It matches the Rfam family "Bacterial small subunit ribosomal RNA", at positions 398 to 840 of the family's 1533-position model. The record is from RNAcentral.